Molecule: non-coding RNA, 125 nt
Organism: Gossypium raimondii (Peruvian cotton)
Lineage: Eukaryota; Viridiplantae; Streptophyta; Magnoliopsida; Malvales; Malvaceae
Source: Rfam
AAUGGGAGAAUGACAAAUCAGAUUUUUUCUCCUGAUUUUUAGCUUUUUCCUCUUGAAAAAAUUCAAAUCCAACUAAAAAUACUAAAAAUCAGGAAAAUAAAAAUCUGAUUUGUCAUUCUCUUAUU